Long non-coding RNA from Rhagoletis pomonella (apple maggot), 1642 nucleotides. RefSeq lists it as uncharacterized. The record is from RefSeq and is a predicted model, not a curated record. The transcript is spliced from 2 exons. Lineage: Eukaryota; Metazoa; Arthropoda; Insecta; Diptera; Tephritidae.
AAAAAAUAAUAACAAAAUAUAACAAAAAACACAGCAACAAAUCUUUGAAAAACAAAACAUUUGCAAAUUAGUAUAAAACGCUCAUAAAAUUUGUCACUUACAUUCUUCCGCAAAAAGAAACGCUAUCGAUUUUACGAGACUAAGUUAUACUAAAUAAAGCAGAACUGGUUUGCCGUUAUAAGCGUUCGUGUGUGUGCGUGUGUGUAUUGCUAUAGGUGGCGCGUGUGGCAAAUCUACGUUCCGAUCAAUUUUACAAAUGGAUUACACCUUCGAUUCGCAAUCGCAAUCUGGACGGUAUACAGUAGCAAUUGCAGCCACCACCAACAACAACGGUAUAUUGCUUCAUGCAAACACAGUAAUACCAACAAUUACAACAACAACAGCGGUGAAAGCAACAAUCGCCAUCACAAAAGUAGCUGGUACUACGUGCGCCAUAAAACAGUUAGACUGGCAGGAAGCGAACAAAUAUUGAAAUCGCUCUUAAAUUUUUAAUUUAUGUGAAGCCUCAUUCAAACACCAACAAAGUCAAAAUUCCAAAUUUAAACUCUAUAUCUACUCUGAAAGCGAAGUAACAGCACACAUUCAAACACUUCUUCAGCGAAUAGUAAAAACAAAAUAACUUUGGCUCUUCCCCUUCUUUCAACAUACAUGAAACUGACAACCUACUUAGAAAAAACACUUGUUGGACCAAAAACAAAUGCAGCUAAUCAGACGCUACUUAAUAAAAAGUUAAGGACACUAAAGUAAAAUUUCGCGGUAAAAAAGUAUAAACACUCGAAAAUCAUAAAGUCUAUUGUGAAAAAAAAGUGGUAAAAUAGAAUUUGCAUUUGCAAAAAAUUAAACAUUCAGCAUAAAAACCAAAGUUCUACAACAAAUUGGUGUUUAAAAAAGAAUAGUCUAUGUUUGCGUUGAAAGCUUUUUGAAAAUGAAAGCGAUUUUCCGUUAAAUACUUGCCUUGAAAAACUUAGUUUACUUUGAAGUAAGUAAAAGCUUUCCCAAGUGAAAGUUUAAGCCGAACGUUAUGCUAAUGAGAAACCGAAAGCUCUUUUAAAGUCAAAGUUCAUUUCAUUAAAUGCAAAAGCUCGCUAACUGCAAAAGCUUUUUUUUAAUUGUACUGCAUUGGAAGCAAAACUCGUUUCGUUCGAAAACUCUGUUAGAAUCACAUUUCACAGCGUGUCCUCACCUCAGUCUCUCACACUUCUCGUACAUUAUCUAGAUAAAUUUUAUUUUCACAAGCAACUCUUAAUUUCGUGCGGUUUACUCUAUUUCGCGUGUGCGUGUGUUAUUUUAAAUAGAAAAUAAAAUUGAAAAAGAAAUUAUAUACAAAAUUUUAAAUGCAACUAAUAUUAUUUGAAGCAAAACAAAAAAAAACGAAAGUGUGUUCGCAGCAAAAUCUUUGAAAAUCAAAUCGUGUCCACUUUGUGAAAAUAUAACGCGUAACAAGCCAGAACAUAAAUCACAACAACUGCUAAUUAUAACGGUUGCAUAUAAAAGAUAUCGCCAACAAAAGCAAACAGCUGCAACAACCAAUCAACCGGCCAACCAAGCAACCAACAACAACCGGCAACACGGCCAAGCAAAAUUGUUAUCUUAUGGAUUGCUGGACGGGUAACGCCCGACUGGCGAGUGUUUUAGUUUAAGG